RNAcentral lists this ribosomal RNA (425 nucleotides) under bacterium Ellin6551. RNAcentral's name for it is "bacterial SSU rRNA". It matches the Rfam family "Bacterial small subunit ribosomal RNA", at positions 28 to 446 of the family's 1533-position model. The record is from RNAcentral.
GACGAACGCUGGCGGCGUGCCUAACACAUGCAAGUGGAGCGACGAACCGGGCUUCGGCCCGGGGCAAAGCCGCGAACGGGUGAGUAACACGUGGGUAACCUGCCCUGAUGAUUGGGACAACCCGAGGAAACUCGGGCUAAUACCGAAUGUGCCCUCCAGCCAUAAGGCUGCUGGGGAAAGGAAGCUUCGGCCUCCGCAUCGGGAUGGGCCCGCGGCCCAUUAGCUUGUUGGUGAGGUAAAGGCUCACCAAGGCCACGAUGGGUAGCUGGUCUGAGAGGACGAUCAGCCACACUGGGACUGAGACACGGCCCAGACUCCUACGGGAGGCAGCAGUGGGGAAUCUUGCGCAAUGCGCGAAAGCGUGACGCAGCAACGCCGCGUGGGGGAAGACGGCCUUCGGGUUGUAAACCCCUUUCAGUUGGGAC